RNAcentral lists this ribosomal RNA (459 nucleotides) under uncultured bacterium. RNAcentral describes it as "partial 16S ribosomal RNA". It matches the Rfam family "Bacterial small subunit ribosomal RNA", at positions 338 to 795 of the family's 1533-position model. The record is from RNAcentral.
CCUACGGGAGGCAGCAGUGAGGAAUAUUGGUCAAUGGGCGUAAGCCUGAACCAGCCAAGUCGCGUGAGGGAUGAAGGUUCUAUGGAUUGUAAACCUCUUUUAUAAGGGAAUAAAGUGUGGGACGUGUGCUAUUUUGUAUGUACCUUAUGAAUAAGGAUGGCUAACUCCGGGGCAGCAGCCGCGGUAAAACGGAGGAUCCGAGCGUUAUCCGGAUUUAUUGGGUUUAAAGGGUGCGUAGGCGGGCUUUUAAGGCAGCGGUGAAAGUCUGUGGCUCAACCAUAGAAUUGCCGUUGAAACUGGGGGGCUUGAGUAUGUUUGAGGCAGGCUGAAUGCGUGGUGUAGCGGUGAAAUGCUUAGAUAUCACGCAGAACCCCGAUUGCGAAGGCAGCCUGCCAAGCCAUGACUGACGCUGAUGCACGAAAGCGUGGGUAUCAAACAGGAUUAGAUACCCCUGUAGUC